Molecule: small nucleolar RNA, 126 nt
Organism: Rhinolophus ferrumequinum (greater horseshoe bat)
Lineage: Eukaryota; Metazoa; Chordata; Mammalia; Chiroptera; Rhinolophidae
Source: Ensembl
GUGCCCUUUUAAGGCUGACCCAGUGUCUUAAGAGGCUAACACAGAAGGGUAAAGUAAGUCAGUCUCCAUAAAACCCAGAGAAGAGAUUGUAAAACUCUUCUUUGGAUCCUGUCUGGAGUCACAGCU